CCUAAAUCCAAGUCGGAAGAACUUUCUCAAAGACAGAAUCAAGAUCAAACUUUAGAAGUUGGUACUGCCAAGCUUUUAGAAAAAUCAAACAACAUCAAGUCACCUCCCCUUGCAGAGCCCCCUAAAGUCAAGUCGGUGGAACUUUCUCAAAGACAAGAUGUUGAAGAUCUGACGUUAGAAGUUGGUACUGACAAGCUUUUUGAAAAAUCAAACAUCAAGUCAUCUCCCCUUGCAGAGCCCCCUAAAGUCAAGUCGGUGGAACUUUCUCAAAGACAAGAUUUUGAAGAUCUGACGUUAG
Long non-coding RNA from Solanum tuberosum (potato), 298 nucleotides. RefSeq lists it as uncharacterized. The record is from RefSeq and is a predicted model, not a curated record. NCBI's taxonomy places the organism in Eukaryota, Viridiplantae, Streptophyta, Magnoliopsida, Solanales, Solanaceae. The transcript is spliced from 3 exons.